This is a long non-coding RNA of Homo sapiens (human), 1191 nucleotides long. RefSeq lists it as uncharacterized. NCBI's taxonomy places the organism in Eukaryota, Metazoa, Chordata, Mammalia, Primates, Hominidae. The transcript is spliced from 4 exons. The record is from RefSeq and is a predicted model, not a curated record.
AGGGCAGGAGGUCCUGACCUGGAGAAGGAGAGCCGCCCCCCUCCGGAUCCUGAGCCCGUGGCCCUGUCAGGGCCCGAGUCAAAGUCCUGACUUGGGAGCAUUCGUCAGCUCAAGUGCUUUCCACGAAAGUUUCCAUUCCUCCUGCCAAAUUAGGAGGCAGGGAGGGAAUUCAGCUUUCCCAGCUCAGGGGCCAGGCAGGCUUCUUGGGGGCCAUGCAGAAGGCUCCUGGAGGGUGAGAGAGGAAGUGCAGUUGCCUGGUGAGGCCAGGUCUUUGAAGAGGCCAAGAGAUGGCGUUCCCAACAGAAGAACGGCCUGAAGUUGAAAGGCCCUGGGGGUGUUAAUGUCUCUGCUUUCUCCAGAAAGAUUUAGGACGUCAAGUCGUCUGAAAAGAUUUCCUUUUUGGAGAACAAGCCCCGCUCUUUGGGGUACCGGAGGGUCUCUAAGAAGCACUGCCUGUCCCAGUUUCUACAAAGUUGGGGCCGCCUCUCUGGGAUAGGCCAGUCCAGCUCUGAAAGCUGAGCCAAGGGGCUGUUUCUGGAAGUUGGAAGAAUCAUGGUGAAACGGCACAAGUAUGGGCUGUUCAACAAUUAACCAGGCAGCGUGGAGUAUCAUCACAGAGAAUCUACGAUGUGCUACUGUGUGCUCUCUGCUAGAAACUGAAGGAAUUUAUAGCAACGAAACAGUCUACGGGCUGUGCUGAGACUUCCUAAGCAGUUUCAGAUCAGAAGGGAAGAGCCUACUAAGUCAGCUGAAGAAACCCUUGUCUGACUUAUUACAGAUGCAACCCACAGAACGCUAAUCUCAAAGGAUGACCUUGGAAAACCGACAACCUAGAAACUGCCUGCCCCCUGGCACAAUGCGGAAAGUUACAAGUUCAGAGCAAGAGGAGCAUGAUUCAUUUCGUGUUACGCAAUUCACAAAUGACCUGCAAGGAUGCUGCCACUGAAGCUGUGGGUUGCAAACAUCCUACACAGUGUUGCUGCACACCCCUGGAUUCGUCUCUCCACAAGGAAUCAACUUCAUACUUUGGGUUCUACCCCAUCGGCUGGUCACAAUCAUUCCUGCCUGAGUCCCUCCCCCCUGGACUCUGGUACUCCACUGGUCUCAUUUCCCUGCAGCCUGGGGUCUUUCCUCCACUCCACACUGGCCAGUCAGGGGCUCAGGCCUUUUGAGGUUAGGAGAAGAGGGAGA